This is a non-coding RNA of Mycena rebaudengoi, 90 nucleotides long. The record is from the annotation of a GenBank genome assembly. Lineage: Eukaryota; Fungi; Basidiomycota; Agaricomycetes; Agaricales; Mycenaceae.
GGUCCAGUAGCAUAGUGGUUAAUGCAUCAGAAUUGGAUGGUCAAGACUGAGCUUCUUCUAACUAUCCUUGUUCAAGUCAAGGCUGGACCA